Molecule: unclassified non-coding RNA, 391 nt
Filed under: soil metagenome
Description: partial contains 5.8S ribosomal RNA, internal transcribed spacer 2, and large subunit ribosomal RNA
Rfam family: 5.8S ribosomal RNA (bases 1-122)
Source: RNAcentral
GAUGAAGAACGUAGCGAAAUGCGAUACUUGGUGUGAAUUGCAGAAUCCCGUGAACCAUCGAGUCUUUGAACGCAAGUUGCGCCCGAAGCCAUUAGGCCGAGGGCACGCCUGCCUGGGCGUCACACGUCGUUGCCCCCCCAUCUACUCCUUCGGGAUUGCGGGGGGCGGAUGAUGGCCUCCCGUGCGCCUCGCCGCGCGGUUGGCAUAAAUGACAAGUCCUCGGCGACGCACGCCACGACAAUCGGUGGUUGCGAAACCUCGGUUGCCCGUCGUGUGCGGUCGUCGCGCAUCGAGGGCUCGAAAAAAUUGCCGGGUUCCGGCUCGGCUUUCAACGCGACCCCAGGUCAGGCGGGGUUACCCGCUGAAUUUAAGCAUAUCAAUAAGCGGAGGA